Molecule: unclassified non-coding RNA, 351 nt
Filed under: soil metagenome
Description: partial contains 5.8S ribosomal RNA, internal transcribed spacer 2, and large subunit ribosomal RNA
Rfam family: 5.8S ribosomal RNA (bases 2-121)
Source: RNAcentral
GGAUGAAGAACGUAGUGAAAUGCGAUAAGUAAUGUGAAUUGCAGAAUUCAGUGAAUCAUCGAAUCUUUGAACGCACAUUGCGCCCGCCAGUAUUCUGGCGGGCAUGCCUGUCUGAGCGUCAUUUCAACCCUCAGCCCCCGCUCGCGGGGCGCUGGCGUUGGGGAUCGGCCGUCCUCGCGGCGGCCGGCCCCGAAACACAGUGGCGGUCUCUCGCGGACUCCCCUGCGUAGUAGCACUACCUCGCAGAAGGGACGAGCGGGCUGACCACGCCGUAAAACCCCCCACUUCUCCAGGUUGACCUCAGAUCAGGUAGGAAUACCCGCUGAACUUAAGCAUAUCAUAAGCGGAGGA